This 422-nucleotide ribosomal RNA is filed under the name uncultured bacterium. RNAcentral's name for it is "bacterial SSU rRNA". It matches the Rfam family "Bacterial small subunit ribosomal RNA", at positions 355 to 774 of the family's 1533-position model. The record is from RNAcentral.
UGAGGAAUAUUGGGCAAUGCCCGCAAGGGUGACCCAGCAACGCCGCGUGGAGGAUGAAUGUCGUAAGAUUGUAAACUCCUGUUAGAGGGGAAGAAUAGUACCGGUUGGACCGGUAUAUGACUGUACCCUCAGAGAAAGCCCCGGCUAACUACGUGCCAGCAGCCGCGGUAAUACGUAGGGGGCAAGCGUUGUCCGGAUUUACUGGGUGUAAAGGGCGCGCAGGCGGGAUAGCAAGUCAGUGGUGAAAUCCCGUGGCUUAACCACGGAAUUGCCAUUGAUACUGCUGUUCUUGAGUACGCUCGACGUGGGCGGAAUGUGCCGUGUAGCGGUGAAAUGCUUAGAUAUGGCACAGAACACCGAUAGUGAAGACAGCUCACGAGGGCGAAACUGACGCUGAGGCACGAAAGCGUGGGGAUCAAACA